AAGUCGUAACAAGGUUUCCGUAGGUGAACCUGCGGAAGGAUCAUUGCCGAUCGGACGCCACGCUGAGCUUUCGCGAGCUCUUCGUGGUGUCUUUUUCGACCAACCCAUGUGAACUCGUUUUAUGUGUUUAACAAAGCCCGCUCACGCACAUUCGUGUGUGUGUGCGGCUUUGUCCAAACAUUUUAUAACAAACCACAUCAUAUUGAACUCUUGACUGAGACAAUACAGGUCACGCCUAAAAACGUUGAUCUCAAAAACCUAACCAUUACAACUUUUAACAACGGAUAUCUUGGCUCGC
RNAcentral lists this unclassified non-coding RNA (298 nucleotides) under fungal sp. Its description in RNAcentral is "partial internal transcribed spacer region". The stretch from base 1 to 46 matches the Rfam family "Eukaryotic small subunit ribosomal RNA", at positions 1786 to 1831 of the family's 1831-position model. Lineage: Eukaryota; Fungi. The record is from RNAcentral.